CAGAUUGAACGCUGGCGGCAUGCUUUACACAUGCAAGUCGAACGGUAACAGGUCUUCGGAUGCUGACGAGUGGCGAACGGGUGAGUAAUACAUCGGAACGUGCCUAGUAGUGGGGGAUAACUACUCGAAAGAGUAGCUAAUACCGCAUGAGAUCUACGGAUGAAAGCAGGGGACCUUCGGGCCUUGUGCUACUAGAGCGGCUGAUGGCAGAUUAGGUAGUUGGUGGGGUAAAGGCUUACCAAGCCUGCGAUCUGUAGCUGGUCUGAGAGGACGACCAGCCACACUGGGACUGAGACACGGCCCAGACUCCUACGGGAGGCAGCAGUGGGGAAUUUUGGACAAUGGGCGAAAGCCUGAUCCAGCAAUGCCGCGUGCAGGAUGAAGGCCCUCGGGUUGUAAACUGCUUUUGUACGGAACGAAAAGCCUGGGGCUAAUAUCCCCGGGUCAUGACGGUACCGUAAGAAUAAGCACCGGCUAACUACGUGCCAGCAGCCGCGGUAAUACGUAGGGUGCAAGCGUUAAUCGGAAUUACUGGGCGUAAAGCGUGCGCAGGCGGUUUUGUAAGACAGUGGUGAAAUCCCCGGGCUCAACCUGGGAACUGCCAUUGUGACUGCAAGGCUAGAGUGCGGCAGAGGGGGAUGGAAUUCCGCGUGUAGCAGUGAAAUGCGUAGAUAUGCGGAGGAACACCGAUGGCGAAGGCAAUCCCCUGGGCCUGCACUGACGCUCAUGCACGAAAGCGUGGGGAGCAAACAGGAUUAGAUACCCUGGUAGUCCACGCCCUAAACGAUGUCAACUGGUUGUUGGGUCUUAACUGACUCAGUAACGAAGCUAACGCGUGAAUGUGACCGC
This 849-nucleotide ribosomal RNA is filed under the name Comamonas testosteroni. Its description in RNAcentral is "bacterial SSU rRNA". It matches the Rfam family "Bacterial small subunit ribosomal RNA", at positions 25 to 872 of the family's 1533-position model. Lineage: Bacteria; Pseudomonadati; Pseudomonadota; Betaproteobacteria; Burkholderiales; Comamonadaceae. The record is from RNAcentral.